UACGGGGGGAGCAAGCGUUGUUCGGAUUUACUGGGCGUAAAGGGCGCGUAGGCGGCCACCGCAAGUCGACUGUGAAAUCUCCGGGCUUAACCCAGAAAGGUCAGCCGAUACUGCGGGGCUAGAGUGCAGAAGGGGCAACUGGAAUUCUCGGUGUAGCGGUGAAAUGCGUAGAUAUCGAGAGGAACACCUGCGGCGAAGGCGGGUUGCUGGGCUGACACUGACGCUGAGGCGCGACAGCGUGGGGAGCGAACCGG
Molecule: ribosomal RNA, 254 nt
Filed under: uncultured bacterium
Lineage: Bacteria
Description: partial 16S ribosomal RNA
Rfam family: Bacterial small subunit ribosomal RNA
Source: RNAcentral